UUAACUUAUUCAAUUAAUCGGGCACAUGGCCCACCAACUCAGACAGCCUGUGUGCACCAGAGUUUCUGUUUGGGCCCCUCCCCAGGCACCUCCGUCCAGUGACCAGGCAGGGUUGGACGGGCAGCAAUGGCUGCUGGCCUGGGAAAGCAACAUGGAUGGGUACUCAGGGAGGUUUGAAGCUCGGGGGCCUUAUGUGGGGGGUCCCGACCAUUUUUAAUGAUCCUUCCGCAGGUUCACCUACGGAAA
Molecule: unclassified non-coding RNA, 246 nt
Filed under: uncultured fungus
Lineage: Eukaryota; Fungi
Description: sequence contains ITS1
Source: RNAcentral